CUUCCCUCCUCUAAUAAACACAUCAUGAAGGUCUCAGGAAAGAUUGGCUUCUAAAGGAAGGCAUCCUGUUGGCUCUCUAAACUGAGACCUCCUAUUGGAGGCCUUCCUUUAUAACCCGGGGCACACGAACCGACUCGCGGGCGGACGGCGCCCGGGCUCCCCAGCUCCGGAGCAGGUGGCCGCGACUUGUUCCCCGCGUGGCUCGCGCGCGAGAAGCCGCCGGGGUCCGGACCCAGGGGUGGGGAGAGUGACGCGUCCC
This 259-nucleotide long non-coding RNA is filed under the name Pan troglodytes (chimpanzee). RNAcentral describes it as "long non-coding RNA NONPTRT014315". Lineage: Eukaryota; Metazoa; Chordata; Mammalia; Primates; Hominidae. The record is from RNAcentral.